AGUGAACGCUGGCGGUAGGCCUAACACAUGCAAGUCGAACGGCAGCACAGGAGAGCUUGCUCUCUGGGUGGCGAGUGGCGGACGGGUGAGGAAUACAUCGGAAUCUACUCUGUCGUGGGGGAUAACGUAGGGACACUUACGCUAAUACCGCAUACGACCUACGGGUGAAAGCAGGGGACCUUCGGGCCUUGCGUGAUUGAAUGAGCCGAUGUCGGAUUAGCUAGUUGGCGGGGUAAAGGCCCACCAAGGCGACGAUCCGUAGCUGGUCUGAGAGGAUGAUCAGCCACACUGGAACUGAGACACGGUCCAGACUCCUACGGGAGGCAGCAGUGGGGAAUAUUGGACAAUGGGCGCAAGCCUGAUCCAGCCAUACCGCGUGGGUGAAGAAGGCCUUCGGGUUGUAAAGCCCUUUUGUUGGGAAAGAAAUCCAGCUGGCUAAUACCCGGUUGGGAUGACGGUACCCAAAGAAUAAGCACCGGCUAACUUCGUGCCAGCCGCCGCGGUAA
This 506-nucleotide ribosomal RNA is filed under the name uncultured bacterium. RNAcentral's name for it is "partial 16S ribosomal RNA". It matches the Rfam family "Bacterial small subunit ribosomal RNA", at positions 29 to 523 of the family's 1533-position model. The record is from RNAcentral.